This is a long non-coding RNA of Mustela lutreola (European mink), 1543 nucleotides long. RefSeq lists it as uncharacterized. The record is from RefSeq and is a predicted model, not a curated record. Lineage: Eukaryota; Metazoa; Chordata; Mammalia; Carnivora; Mustelidae. The transcript is spliced from 3 exons.
UCCGCGAGAGUAGAAUCGGCUUCCUGUAAGCUUGAAGGUCUCUGUGGCAAGUACCUUUCCGGAUGGUCGCAGUUUUUCCGUGUCCUCUGCGUCGCAGCGCAGACCGCCCACCCUCGUAUCCCAGCCAGCCGAGCUUGGUCCUGGACGCCGUCGCUGGGCUGGGGCACUGAGACCCGAUUGGCUUAUUGAGGAUCCUUUGCCUUUGCCUGGGAGAACAGUUCAGGAGGCAGAUGGCCCCAAGUCUACCAAGAGUCCAAAUCCAGGCAAAAAUCACAAGUAGAUGGAGAGGCAGGCAGAGAGAGACAGACUCGAUCCCAGCACCCUGAGAUCAUGACCUGAGCCGAAGGCAGCGGCUCAACCCACUGAGCCACCCAGGCGCCCCAAUCCUUUUAGUUCUUCCUGAAGAUUAAAUGAAGCUUGCAUAAUUGUAGAAGUUGGGGUGACUAGGGGAAGGCUAAGACAUGAGUGAAGCCAUUACAUCUGAAUGGUCCCAGAGAAAUUUGGAAACAUUUGUGGCCUAGAAUGCCAGGGUGGAGUUUGCCCUUAUCCUGGAGAAAACUGGGUUUUGAAGGAUUUUCAGAAGUUGGCAGGGAGGAAUAUGUAUUUGAGUAUUGUACAAAUUAAGAGUAACAGAAAAUUUUAAAAAUUAAAGAUUACCUGUAUUCCUGUCACACUAACAAUUCAAAUUAUUUCAUUUGAAACUGUUUUGCAUAUGUGUUUUUUAGGUUUGCCCAUUUUUUUUUCCUUUUAAUAUGUCAUAGCCAUUUCUUCCAAUUUGCCCCAGAGUCUGCCAUUUUUUGUAGCUCCUUUUUAUAUUGUAGUCAACCAGCCUGGUGACCUUGAACAAAUUCUUUCAACUCUUUGAGCUUUAGUGUUCUUAGCCACAAAGUAGAUUUACUUUAUGGAUAGUCAUGGUAGAAAUUCAGAGAUAUGAUGUAUAUCCUGGGACUUAGCAUUGUGUCUGGUACAUAUAAGUUGCCAUUGCUAUAUAUACAUAUAUAUAGGUAGAUAUAUGUCUAUAUUUACCUAUAUAUAUUAUGUAAUAUAUAUUAUUUAUCAGUAAAUUCUAGGAUAAAGCCAGUUUUACUCUGCAUGUCUUUUGGAAUUUCAGUUCAUUUGUUGAUUGACAAAUCCUUGGACACUUCCAAAGUGUGCCAACCAGUAUUUUAGGCUGGUGACACAGCAGUGACCCAAGUGGUCCCUAACCUCCUGGAGCUCACAUUAUAGAUGAUACCGACAAUAAAUCUGAUCCUGCCAGGAAGGGAGAAAUCCUGUGAAGAAAGUGAAGUGGUUCAUGGGAUAGAAGGUGGUAGAGGAUGGGAGAAGAUAACUUUCUGGUGAAGUGACAUUGAAGUAAAGAUAUACAAAAUGAGGGAUGAGCAAAUGCUAGGCCCAGAGGAAGGAGCAUGAUCGGUGCGUUGGAAGAGCAGGAGGAGCCCAGUGUGGUUCAAAUGAGGAGCCACUACCUCCCUUUAUCCCUGGCUGGAUUUUCCAGCUUCUUAUCUUCUAAUUUGUUGUUCGUGUGUAACAAGUCUGCUUUCUG